AGGCCAGUAGCUCUAAUUGGUUAGAGCGCCAGACUCCAAAUCUGGAUGUUGGGGGUUCGACUCCCUCCUGGCCUG
This 75-nucleotide transfer RNA is filed under the name Nitrospina sp. RNAcentral's name for it is "tRNA-Trp". It matches the Rfam family "tRNA". Rfam says of the family: Transfer RNA (tRNA) molecules are approximately 80 nucleotides in length. Their secondary structure includes four short double-helical elements and three loops (D, anti-codon, and T loops). Further hydrogen bonds mediate the characteristic L-shaped molecular structure. tRNAs have two regions of fundamental functional importance: the anti-codon, which is responsible for specific mRNA codon recognition, and the 3' end, to which the tRNAs corresponding amino acid is attached (by aminoacyl-tRNA synthetases). tRNAs cope with the degeneracy of the genetic code in two manners: having more than one tRNA (with a specific anti-codon) for a particular amino acid; and 'wobble' base-pairing, i.e. permitting non-standard base-pairing at the 3rd anti-codon position. Lineage: Bacteria; Pseudomonadati; Nitrospinota; Nitrospinia; Nitrospinales; Nitrospinaceae. RNAcentral also lists the same sequence under 3 other names. The record is from RNAcentral.